UAUCGAUAUGUGAAUACAUAGCAUAUCAGAAGGCACACCCGGAGAACUGAAACAUCUUAGUACCCGGAGGAAGAGAAAGAAAAUUCGAUUCCCUUAGUAGCGGCGAGCGAAACGGGAAGAGCCCAAACCAACAAGCUUGCUUGUUGGGGUUGUAGGACACUCUAUACGGAGUUACAAAGGACGACAUUAGACGAAUCAUCUGGAAAGAUGAAUCAAAGAAGGUAAUAAUCCUGUAGUCGAAAAUGUUGUCUCUCUUGAGUGGAUCCUGAGUACGACGGAGCACGUGAAAUUCCGUCGGAAUCUGGGAGGACCAUCUCCUAAGGCUAAAUACUCUCUAGUGACCGAUAGUGAACCAGUACCGUGAGGGAAAGGUGAAAAGCACCCCGGAAGGGGAGUGAAAUAGAACCUGAAACCGUGUGCUUACAAGUAGUCAGAGCCCGUUAAUGGGUGAUGGCGUGCCUUUUGUAGAAUGAACCGGCGAGUUACGAUUUGAUGCAAGGUUAAGCAGUAAAUGUGGAGCCGUAGCGAAAGCGAGUCUGAAUAGGGCGUUUAGUAUUUGGUCGUAGACCCGAAACCAGGUGAUCUACCCUUGGUCAGGUUGAAGUUCAGGUAACACUGAAUGGAGGACCGAACCGACUUACGUUGAAAAGUGAGCGGAUGAACUGAGGGUAGCGGAGAAAUUCCAAUCGAACCUGGAGAUAGCUGGUUCUCUCCGAAAUAGCUUUAGGGCUAGCCUCAAGUGAUGAUUAUUGGAGGUAGAGCACUGUUUGGACGAGGGGCCCCUCUCGGGUUACCGAAUUCAGACAAACUCCGAAUGCCAAUUAAUUUAACUUGGGAGUCAGAACAUGGGUGAUAAGGUCCGUGUUCGAAAGGGAAACAGCCCAGACCACCAGCUAAGGUCCCAAAAUAUAUGUUAAGUGGAAAAGGAUGUGGCGUUGCCCAGACAACUAGGAUGUUGGCUUAGAAGCAGCCAUCAUUUAAAGAGUGCGUAAUAGCUCACUAGUCGAGUGACACUGCGCCGAAAAUGUACCGGGGCUAAACAUAUUACCGAAGCUGUGGAUUGUCCUUUGGACAAUGGUAGGAGAGCGUUCUAAGGGCGUUGAAGCAUGAUCGUAAGGACAUGUGGAGCGCUUAGAAGUGAGAAUGCCGGUGUGAGUAGCGAAAGACGGGUGAGAAUCCCGUCCACCGAUUGACUAAGGUUUCCAGAGGAAGGCUCGUCCGCUCUGGGUUAGUCGGGUCCUAAGCUGAGGCCGACAGGCGUAGGCGAUGGAUAACAGGUUGAUAUUCCUGUACCACCUAUAAUCGUUUUAAUCGAUGGGGGGACGCAGUAGGAUAGGCGAAGCGUGCGAUUGGAUUGCACGUCUAAGCAGUAAGGCUGAG
This 1380-nucleotide ribosomal RNA is filed under the name Staphylococcus aureus. Its description in RNAcentral is "partial 23S ribosomal RNA". It matches the Rfam family "Bacterial large subunit ribosomal RNA", at positions 149 to 1529 of the family's 2925-position model. The record is from RNAcentral. Lineage: Bacteria; Bacillati; Bacillota; Bacilli; Caryophanales; Staphylococcaceae.